This 528-nucleotide long non-coding RNA is filed under the name Chlamydomonas reinhardtii. Its description in RNAcentral is "long non-coding RNA (CREI_LNC000315)". Lineage: Eukaryota; Viridiplantae; Chlorophyta; Chlorophyceae; Chlamydomonadales; Chlamydomonadaceae. The record is from RNAcentral.
UGAAACGGCUCGUGGACACACUGAAGCGGGGGGCGAACGCACCCACGCACAUCAGCGACCCGCGCACAUGGACACACACGGCCACGGCCCCAACCUGCCCAGCCCUCCCAAACUCACUUCUAAAGCAAGCCAAAUACCAGCACGCUAAUCCAAAGACGAUACACGCCAUGGCUGACGAAGCACGACGCUUUCCUAACGCGCGAUUCCAGACCCACCAUGCUCUGGCCCACGACGUGAAUGGCAUUGUCUGGACAGACGGUUCGGUAAGCAAAACCAAAACUGACAAUGGCAAAGAAGUCCAGGUUGCCGGCGCCUGCGCCUGGUUUAGCGAUUCUCGCGUUGUCUACGUGAAUCCAAAUGGCGCUGGGUGUACAAACACUAUAACGAGAGCUGAACUGGCAGCAAUUCGUGCUGCCCUCGCAGAAUUUGGUGGCGAAGGUAAAGAAUUUGCAACUAAGAAGCUCACUAUUGCAUCAGAUUCUGUUGCAAGCUUGUACCUAAUCAAACGAGCAAUUAACGAGCCCCGGC